GCUAGAAAAACAUAUAAUAUAUUUCACAUUUCACAGUAAGAACUCUUAUAUUCUGUUACUGUUUCAUGCAUUGUGAUUUCUUCCUGUGUUGUUCAUCAUAUUCAAUUCACUCCUUACUGUAGAAUAGGUCGCCAUAAGUGAUGAUGCCUAAAAUCAUGUACUAAUGGUUCCAGAGUCUCGACUGACUAAGCUGUGUCAUGGAAUCACAGUCAACAAGUGCAGGAACGUUUGAACUUCAUGUCACUACGUCCUGUACGCAGGUGGAAGCUUGAAGAGAGAUUUGGGGAAAUUCCUGUUGAAGAUGGAGUCAUUGGUCUUCUGGAGGGCUGUCUUCAUCUUCCUUUCACUUCCCUCGAUCCAGGUACUAAAAAUGGAUGGAUGGAUGGAUGGAUGAAUGGACUGAUAAACAGAUGAAUGGAUGGAUGGAUUAAUUGAUGAACAGAUGGAACCAAAUGGAUGGAUGGAUGGACUGAUGAAUAGACAGGUUGAUGGUUGGAUGGAUGGAUUAAUCAAUCGACAGAUGGAUGGACAAAUGGAUGGAUGGAUUGAUGAAUGGACAGAUGGACGGAUGAAUGGACGAGUGGAUGGAUACGCUGGAUUCCUGAUUCUCUAUGUACCACCUGAAUGACAUUUAGGAAACACAUUCCUGAUCCCUUGCUGCACUUCGAACAGAUACCUGUGUGUCUAUUUUUGUGUAGUUAUUGUAGAUUUCAGCUUAUUCAUCGUCACAGAAUUUGGUGAAUCAAAUGAACAUGGACCACACCACAGAAUGCUUGUUAGGGCUCCCACUCUCCCACGGCCGGCUCACUGCGGCGGCUGUCAGCUCCGUUGGCUAAUUUGAUCUCACCAGUCCGAAUCAGAUUGUUAAUACAGGUGCAGGGUAGUGAGGUGAGCUCACUGUAGUCUCUCUACAUGUGUAUUUGCAGUUGUAAGUGUCACCUCUUUAUAAGAAGCACAAAUGAGUGCGGAUUUCUCUGGCAAAUAUAGCAGCUCCUUAAUCCCUGACAACAGUAAUGUAACAUAACAUAAUGGACCCAGAGAAAACAUCUUUAUUUGGACGGCGUCUGUUUAUAAAGGCAGGAAUAUUUCUUCCGUCUAUUUUCAGGACCGGGACUUUUGUGGUGAGCUAUGAGUUUAAGAAUGAGGGUUUGGACAGUGUUUCUGGCUCAUAAACUCCACACAGCAACUCUGGAAUUUGAGCUUUUUAAAAAAGGUGAUUCACAGAGUGAAUUAUAUAAUGGUGCAAAAGUUGUAGAUUUGAAUAACUAGUGACCAACUAUUGGGAUUCUCUUAUUAAUAUAUUUGCCACUCUUUGUCGCGUUAAUACACAAAAACACAUAAAAUAAGUCAAAUAUUGUAGCAAAGUUUAUUUGGAUUGACGGUAUUUCACUGAUUUCUUUGCUUGAACUGUACAUUAAAAUCGGGGGGUCAGUGCGUGAAGAAAAGCUUCCAAUUAAAGAUGCUUAUUAUAAUAGUAAAUAUCACAGUUUUAAUGUUAUUAACCAAAAUAUUUCUAGUAAGCCUGUAUCUCAUAACUAAAACAUUUUAGCUAAAUCUAAAUGAAUUUCAUGGGCAGAUCUAUUGAGUUAUUGUAAGCCGGUCGAAGCCUGUAUCAUAAAGUCAAAUAAGUCAUAAUUCAGCUUGAACUGUGUUUAUUACAAACUAAAUUAGACAUGUGUAUAGCUCUCCUCAAUGCUACAGGUGAGUGGGACCACUGUCACUCACAAAACAAACUGCCGCACAGACACUUGCCUUGUGACUGGCGUGAUAUCAUUUCAAAGAAGGCACAUACACGUCCCACAAGACUGGUUUCACCUGGGAAAUAAUGUAGGAGACAGGACGCCAAGAAUUUUGUAGCUUCAUCAAUACUUUUGCUUAUGAAACGAUGACUUAAAGUGGCAACAAUAAACCAAUGAUCCAUUAAAUAUAUUUGAUUUGAUUCCCUUAUUGCCUAACAAAAGCAAUUGUGAAGUAUUUUCUUUCCACUUAAUACCAAUGCUAUUUACUAACGAAGGCUAAUAUUCUAGAUUGAACGUAAAGACGGGUCAGUGUCCAUCAAAAGCAUCACGGCCAACUAUGUAAUGAACCCGGAAGGGGAUGAACCAGUUUAAAAAGAAACUCCCAGUCAGGUUAUUCUAUUGGUCAGAUCUGCCUCUGGCACUCUAUUGGUUGAGAAUUUAGACAAGAAAAUAUAAGAGCAGUGGAGAGAUACUUCAAAGCUUCUUCUGUUGCCACGACAAUCAUCGUCCAAAUUAGUUUUUUUUUUAAAUAAUUCUAUAUGCAUCAUCAUAAACUUCCCACAUCUAAUAAGCGAUGUAAUGCCUCAUUAUUCAUGAGGAAUAAUAAGGCGCUCUCAGAGGGAUAGCGGGGUGGUUGUGUGCAGCGGGUUCGUGCAUGUGUGCUGUCCAGGGUGCUGAAACGCAGCGCGCGAGAUCAAUAGAUCGCAUUCUUUAUUCUACGCCCACGUGUUCUCACAGGCCGCAAUAUGUUUAUUCAUACAUUUGAUUACAGGUCACUUUUGAGCAGAGCUAAUUUAUUUGAGGUGAUUAUUUUCCAGCUGUUUUCAUUUCAAUGGCGUGUCUUCUCAUUAUCGUCUCCCCUCCCACCAGCGUUUUAACGCACAGGCUUACGGGGGCUCAUGCCCCCAUGCCCACGCUAAUAGAGACACAACGGUAGCGGGGCUUUUUACUCCCACACAAUCCGCUGUGUGAGGUGUGUGUGUGUGUGUGUGUGAUAGGGAGUCAUACAGUUGACCUGCAGUGAGCUGGCAGCUGAGGAAUCCUUCACCGGCCCGUUCAUUGACACAGCGCCCUCCUCACGUCAUCCAUGCCGACUCAGCUGUAUCCUGCAUGUCUGACCCCUCACAGCCAAAUGGAGCGAUGGAAGUUAGGAUAAUGAAAAGCAGAGGGAAGGUUGAUAUUCAGGUGUUCCACCCUGCCUUUAAAUAAGUCACACACACACACAGGCCUCUGACCUUAUUGCAUACUUGCGGAUGAGCUUAGGUCUGUGAUAAAGAGAACAUAAGUUAGUUGUUGUGUGUUGUGUGCAUACGUGUGUGUGUGUGUGUGUCUGGAUUCCUCCGAUCACAAAUACCGAUACAAUUUAACAUGAACAUAGAAUUGCUUCUUUAUUCUUUUGGCGAUGAUUGGAUUUGGUCACAGCGCACUCCUGAACACUCGAAAUGACUCAGCAUGAUUUAUAUGGUGGCCGGCGGAGAUAAGUAAGACGGUCACCAUGGCAACAAUUAAGCUUUAUUCCAGACACAUGGGGCCAUAUCAACAACAAUAGGGCACUAGCCAAGAUGAUGGGAGGGGUGAGUCGCAUGACAAACAAGCACCAGCUCUCUCCUGCUCGCCCGCCUUUCAGCAGAUCUUCACUUUUUAAAUGUGUCCCUUUCUUCCCGCCCCGGUGGGUCACUUUUGGGGUCAUCACACGCAGAUGCUGAGCCAGCACGGCGUCCUGUGAUGGCAUCGGACCAGGUACCCGGAGAUCUUGGCAUGAGAACAAUAACGAGGUUCUGCCAAACUUUUGUCAUCACAUUGCACUUCCCACAGAAAGGGCAGGAAUCUGGAAUUCCCACUUCCCAACCCAACAUGUAGUUAUACAAGUCAGAGCACCACCACCAUUUUCAUCGUGACAGAAUGUUAUAAAACGAUAUCGUGACCAGCCAGGUCAUGCAUUGGACCUUCCAAUGAGAGGCACCGCUGACUGAUUUAUCCUGGGAGGGAUCCCGAUUCAUUUCGGAAAACAUUAUGGGACGAGUGAAGAGCAGAACAACGAUGAUAUAAUAAGGAGCGAGCAGCAUAAACAUGGCUGAAACAGAGUUGUUUAUAUUUGGCAUCAAGAGCAAAAAGUUUGCAGAAGGCCGAGGGUGGAGUGUCGUCUUUCAGUCGGCACGUUCUGAAAUAAAAAAUGAGAGAAAAGAGACCGGAAAAUUACAGCAAACCGCAGUAAAUAAAUGAGAAAUAGCCGCUAAAGGAGCUGUCCAGUCAGUCAGAUAAUUACCAUUGAACCCAAUUGAAAUGACUGCUAAUUUGAGGGAAGACGGCGUGAGCCCACCGGGGGCGGAAGGCAUUUGGUGCACACAGUAGUCUCUUUUUUUCUCCAACCCCCCCCAAAGAAAAAACAAGCUGCUCCUCCAACUGACUGAGGCCGAGGCUCCUAAAGAGAAGCAGCUUCUGUUCCUCACUGUGGUGACACCAUGUCUGGUGUAUCCAAUCGUUGAGUAAUCGGGGGAAUAAAAGUGUAGUUAUUGUUGAGAAACAUGAGGCCGACCAUCAGGGAUUCAAAAUGGAUUUGAAAUAAACGUGUGCCAAGGCGAGGCAGCGGCCUGUGAUGAGGCACACCAGAGGUUUUGUUUUGGUCUUACGUUGGUAUCGUGUUAGUUUGUAGGAGUAUCAUGUAUGAUAAUAUGUAACAGCGUAUCGUUAACUGAAGAAUGCAGUGUGUGGGUGAGAUGGCAUGAUGUCUGCAUGAGGAGUGCUGUCGGAGUAGAGCUGCAGGAUAGAGGCCAACAUCAUGACCACAGUUGUUUUUAUCAAUAAUGAGAUCACGAUUAUGACUCCUCCCAUCUUGCUCUCCACCUGGUGGUUACUGACUGUUGGUUGAGGAAGGCAUUUGAAACGUCAAUAUUGCUGACAAUGAUAAUUGUGGCUGCUAAAAUUGUAAUCCCAAUUAAAACGUGAUUAAUUGUGCAGCCCUAUGUCCGGGUGAUAAUAAUUGGCUCAGAUAUUUCCUUAUGUUUCUGCUAAUCCUGAACGAACACCACUUCAUUGUGCCGGCGUGGUGUUCGGGCGUAGUCAACAGGUCGCCGGGCUCCGCGAGGUGCUUUUGGUGCUGCUCAGGUGGGCUGGGGGUGAACAGUGUUGCACGGAUGGUGUGCUGUAUGUUGAAAAGUGAAGGAAUGUGUUGUGUACAUUGGAACAAAGUGGUGUGACUGAGUGUGGAUGAGGUGAUGGAGGGGGUGAGGGUGGGGGUGGCGGUGCUGUACUGUGCACGCUCGGCCGGUCACCUGGAUUAUCCCAAGCUGAUGUAGGAUCAGAAUCGCGCCUGAUUGCCUUUUAUUGUCCGGGUGUUUUAUCAGACGUGCAGGCUGGAGUUGGGUUUUCACCGACCCCUUUCAUUUUAAAACUAAGAACACGGUGGUGGCGGGAAAUGUCUCCGGAGAGGAGAAAGAUCGUUUGUCAGCAUUAUCGCACAAACCGGGAGGGGAGCGGAGCCACGAGGGACAGCAGAGGGGGCGGAGGGGUGGAGGAGAGAGGGAAACACCGAGGCAGAAGACGGGUGAAGUGACAACGUGAGCGCCUAUUGGUGGGUUUCCUGUCGGCCGGGCCUUCCUGGUGCCAGCCCCUUCCUGUCAUCCCCCAGCUGUUCAAACACAAUCCGUCGACAAAACCGGCCGGUCCUUUUCCCGUCUCAACCCACCCAGCCAGAAGCCCUCACCAGCACCACCUUCCUCCUCCUCCUCCUCCUCCUCCUCCCGCCCAGGCGGGAUCCCCGAGCCUUUCCUCUCAGCCUCCUCUUAAAACAGCAUUGUCCGUGAUGCCAACAAUCGGUGAGGUAUGGCUUCGCGGAAUGCAGCGCGCUGCUGCCAUUGUGUGUAGGGAUGAUGACGGAGGUGGUGGAGCAGCAGAGAGCAGCCAGGGACCAGAAGGAAAAGGGCACGGAGAGAAAGAGCAACCAGAACAAGAAAAGCCUCUUUUCUGGUGACCUUUUUUUUAAGGUUACCUAACAAUGUGUUCUACAAUUUCAUUGAAAGGCUGUUUUGGGGACCAAUCCACCGGUGCUCUUUGACAGAACUGCUUCUAGAAUGUACAAUCAACGCUAUUUCUGUAACGUUUGAUGUCACCCCCCCCUCCUCCUCUCAGGAUUAGUUCAUAGGUAAUAAGGGCGUCAAAGGACGCAGACUAAUAAUAGCAUGCGUUAAUAAGACUAUAUGUGUGUUAUUGCGUUACAUUAGGAUUUGGGGAGAUCUAUAGGCAGUUGUUUAAGACCACUUAAGACAAAUUAUUAAGAGUUGUAGAAAAAAAAGAGUUUGUUACGAUUGCUACAUUAAUUUAAGACAAAAACAUGUAUCAUUUACAUUUAUUCAGUGUAACUAAGUUACAUAUUAUGACAUUGUUACAAUAUUGGCUGUGAUUUUUAUAUGUACAAAAAUGACACACAUAUAUUUUCUGUUUGAAUUUAUUUGACAACAUACGAUACGGCUCGAUGUUAUUCUCGUUGUUAAGUGUCUUUAACCUUAACACUAAAAUAGUUGACGAUCCCAUUAUUAACACUGCUAAUGUUGCGUCACCGCGCGGUAAUUAGCAUCUUACAUGGCCUCAGCUUUUCCUAACGGAGCCCUUAAUUCAAAGCGCUGCAGAUUGGUCAUUACCC
Long non-coding RNA from Gasterosteus aculeatus aculeatus (three-spined stickleback), 6378 nucleotides. NCBI's taxonomy places the organism in Eukaryota, Metazoa, Chordata, Actinopteri, Perciformes, Gasterosteidae. The record is from Ensembl.